This 745-nucleotide ribosomal RNA is filed under the name uncultured Anaerococcus sp. Its description in RNAcentral is "bacterial SSU rRNA". It matches the Rfam family "Bacterial small subunit ribosomal RNA", at positions 28 to 776 of the family's 1533-position model. The record is from RNAcentral. Lineage: Bacteria; Bacillati; Bacillota; Tissierellia; Tissierellales; Peptoniphilaceae.
GAUAAACGCGGGCGGCGUGCAUAACACAUGCAAGUCGAACGAUGAACCUUAUUAGAUUUCUUCGGAAUGAAAAUAAGUGGAUUAGUGGCGAACGGGUGAGUAACACGUGAGUAACCUGCCUUACACAAGGGGAUAGCCUUUGGAAACGAAGAAUAAUACCCUAUAACGUCAAAAUAUCGCAUGAUAAAGUGACCAAAGAUUUAUCGGUGUAAGAUGGACUUGCGUCUGAUUAGCUAGUUGGUGAGAUAAAAGCCCACCAAGGCGACGAUCAGUAGCCGGCUUGAGAGAGUGUACGGCCACAUUGGGACUGAGACACGGCCCAAACUCCUACGGGAGGCAGCAGUGGGGAAUUUUGCACAAUGGGGGAAACCCUGAUGCAGCGACGCCGCGUGAUUUAGAAGGCCUUCGGGUUGUAAAAAUCUUUUUUAUGGGAUGAAAAUGACAGUACCAUAAGAAUAAGGUCCGGCUAAAUACGUGCCAGCAGCCGCGGUAAUACGUAUGGACCGAGCGUUGUCCGGAAUCAUUGGGCGUAAAGGGUACGUAGGCGGCCUAGUAAGUUAGAAGUGAAAUAAUAUAGCUCAACUAUAUAAAGCUUUUAAAACUGUUAGGCUUGAGAGAUGAAAGGGAAAGUGGAAUUCCUAGUGUAGCGGUGAAAUGCGCAGAUAUUAGGAAGAAUACCGGUGGCGAAGGCGACUUUCUGGUCAUCAUCUGACGCUGAGGUACGAAAGCGUGGGUAGCAAACAGG